Molecule: long non-coding RNA, 27646 nt
Organism: Sarcophilus harrisii (Tasmanian devil)
Lineage: Eukaryota; Metazoa; Chordata; Mammalia; Dasyuromorphia; Dasyuridae
Exons: 13
Source: RefSeq, a predicted model, not a curated record
ACAAAACUGAAGAUAAAAUGAAAUGGGUGAAUAUUUAUAAAAGUAUAAAAUGGAGGAAAUAACAAAUAUAAACAAUCUUAUCUCAGAGAAUCUGAGUAAAUCAUAAAUGAAAUCCAAGGAAAAAUUCCUAGUUUAAUUAUGAAUUAUAUCACACAUUUAAAGAACAGUUAAUCAUUCUGCUAUGUAAGCUGUUCACAAAGUAAUAGAGCAAGAUGCCACCUUUACCAAAUUCCUUCUAUGAGAAAAAUAUGGUCCUGACAAACUAAAUUAGGGAUAAAGCUAAUAAAGAAAAAUACACACCAAUAUCACUAAUUAUUUAGUUAACCAAGCAGGUAUAAUAUAUUAAAAAUUAUUCACUAUGAUCAAUUUAGAUUUAUACCAGAAGUAUAAGGUUGGCUCAGAAAUGCCAUAUAUUUGAAAAACUACGCAUUUAUAACACAUCAUAUUAAUAAAUCACAUAAUCAUUUCAGUUCGGAGGGGAAAAAAAGCCUCGGGGAAAAUAUACUUUUAUUUCUGAUAUCCAGUGAGAAUAUUAAUUAUGUUUUUUUAAUAUCUGUAAAAUCAGGAACUAGUUUUUAUUUGUAACAGAAUAACACCAUAGUCUUUCCCAGUAAGAUAAUACAAGAUUCCUCACUGUCUCUGUUAUUAUUUGAAUACCUUUCUAGAAAUGCUCCUAUAGCACUGACAAUGAAAAGUAGCUCAGGGAGAACAAAUCCAUCAAGGGAGAAGAAUAUCCCUUCUAUUGGCAGAUAAUAUGAUGUUUACUUUAAGAAUUAUGGGGUUUCAGAAAAAACACUCAUCAAAAUGACAGCCCCAGUAAAGUUGUAAGAUAUAAAAUGAAACUACAAGUUGUCACCUUUUGUCUACAUCACUUACAAUCCAAGAGGAAGAGAUGGACAGAAAAACUCUACUAAAUCCUCUGUGAUGCAUUAAAAAAUGGAUUUAAGAGACUGAGACACGGUUAAGAGUGAUCUAAACUCUGCCAUAAAGCACUGCUGAGUGUUUUAUGAGUAAAGUACAUUGGAGAGAGAUUCAUUACUCAUGGUUGGAGCGUGUCAAAAUGUUUUAAAAAAUUGUGAUGACAUUUAAAUUAAUUCAUAAAUUGAGUUUUUUUUUCAAGCAAUAUAUUACCAAGGCGUUCCUGUAUAGGACCAUAUAAGUCAUAAUGAAAGUUCAUUAAUUUCAAGGGAAAUAGUGGGAAAAAAUAAUAAUGAAGGGAGCUUAGCAUUAUCAAAUCUCAGAUGAUAGUAUGAAGCAGUAAUCAUCUAUUUGAAUGGUUUAUAUGGUUUAAGAAAAGGACUAGAGAAAUGGGACUUAGGAGUAAAGGAUACAGUCGUUCAGUGUUUUAUAAACCCAAAGAUAUUGAUAUCAUGGAUAUGGUAGAUAGAAGAGUUCUUGGGAAAUCACAUUGGACUAGCAUUUUAUACCACGUAAUCGUCAUAAGCCUGAAAUGGAUGUAUGACAGUAAUAUAAAAGGUCAUAGCACCAAAAAUUAAGAGUAAAGGUUCCAUAUAUACCAAAAUAUUCCUAAUUUUUUUUCCUUAACAGAAAAUUCUCCAAAUAAAAUUAGUCCUUGUCUCUUAGGAAACGGAUAAACAAAAUGUGAUAUGAAUGUAGUACGAUAUUAUUUAAUGUAAAAAAAAUGACUAUAAAAUUCAGAAACUUGGGCAGACUUGUAUGAACCUUGGGAACAUUAAUGAUAGUAAUUAUAAUUUCAAUAGUACUUUAAAGUUUACAGAAUUCUUUGGAAAUGUGAUCUCACUUUAUCCUCACAACUCUAAAAAGUUUGAAUAGUUAUCAAAAUAGAAAAUGCCCAGAUUCACAGAACAAGAAGUAAAGGGCUGAAAUAACAGUUCAUAAAAAGAAAUGAAACAAGCCAUAAAUGACUUCCAAAAAGGGAGAGAGGACCUUAGACUUUAUAAGUAAAUUUGAUUAUUCAGAAAAAAGAGUCCAUGGUGUUGUUAACCUAAACCAAGAAAAGUAAAAACAGAAAGAAAACUAUGGAUCAAUAUCCCUAAUGAACACGGAUGCAAAACAAGGUGGAAAUGAAGGGAAAAGACCUUAUGUAUAAAAAAGUAUUUAUAGCAGUUCUCUUUGUGGUGACAGAACCAACAAAAUGGAAACUAAGGGCGUGAGAAUGAUUUGGAGAAUGGGUAAACAAACAAUGCUAUUUGAAUGUGCUGUUAUUCAGCCAUUUUUCUGUCAUGUCGGAUUCUCUGUGACCCAGUUUGGGGUUUUCUUGGCAAAGAUACUGAUUGGCCAUUUCCUUCUCCAGCUCAUUUUACAGAUGAGGAAAUUGAGGCAAACAGGGUGAAGUGACUUGCCCAGGCUCACACAGUUAGUGUCUGAGGCUGGGUUUGACCUCAGGUUUACUUGACUCCAGUCCUGGCAUUCUAUCCAUUGCACAAUCUAAGGUGCCUUAUAUGAACACAGUGGAAUAUUACUGUGCAAGAAGAGAUGGCAAAGGGGAUACAUAGGGAAGAUGUGUAUGAACUGAUGCAGAGUGAAGUGAGCAAACCAGUAGAACCAUUUAUACAGUAAUAAUAAUUUUGUAAAGACAAAUUUGAAAGUCUUAAGAAAUUUGAUUAUUACAGUGAAUUACGAUACCAGUAGAACUAUGAUGAAACCUUCUGUCCAUUUUAUGACAGAGAGGUGAUACCUCAAAUUUUGUUUUGUUCAGUUAUGUCUUUAUUGCAAGAAUUUUGCUCUUUCCCCCCCAAAUAGGGUGGGAGAGGAGUAAAGUGGGGAAGAGAGAAAAUAGAUUUAUUUAACUGAAAAAGAACUAAACUUGAUUUUUAAAAAAGGAAACAGUAGGGAAGAUGGAUUGGUUAGGGGGAAAACUCAAAGGAAGACAACCAGUUUGGAGAUUGUUGCAGUAGCGUCUGCCAAAAGAAAGGAGGACCUGAAGAAGGGUGGUUAUAUCAGCACUGGAGGGAAAAGUGGGAGAGAUCUUUUCAAGGUUGAGAGCUUGGUAAUUAAUUGGAUAUGGGGCAGGGCUUAUCAGGAAUGGGUAAGAGUUCAGGUUCUGAGCUUACAAACCCGAGUGACUGUGAAGAUGGUGGUAGUGCUAUGAACAGAAAUCAAAGCCUUAUGGGAAAGCACAGGUUUGGGGAAAGAGGGAAGAUGUUCAAUUUGUGGUGCUGGCCGUAAGGAGCUCUGGGGAAAGAUCAUGGAUGGCUAUGCGGAUGUGAGUGUCAGUACUUAAACUGAAAAGAUGAGCAAAGUAGUUCCCCGAGGGAGAGAAUGGAGGAAGACUUAAGAGGAAAGUCCAGGAGAGAACCUUGCUGCAUAUCUCUAGUUUUAUAAUGGAAGGAGAAUAGAAAGUCAGCACAAGAAAGAAAUGGUCAGAGAGGGAGAAGGAACAUGGAGUACGGGGUAUCACCAGGGAAGAGAUGUUGGUGACUGAGGCCAAUAUACACACCGGCUACUUAUGGCCCAAGAAGGUCAAAGACAAAAAAGAAAAGCUCUGUAUAUCUCUGUAUAUAUAAUACUUGUCUUAUAUAUACUCUCUCUAUUCCCAAUAGCACUUCUGGUAGGACAAAAACUAGAAAUGAAGUGGAUGCCUAGUGGUAGGUGACAAAUUGCUGUCUAAAUUGUGGCAGGUAAAUGGGAGAGGUAUGAAUUAUGGCCCCAAAAUAAGAAGCAGGAGGAAUUCCAAGCAACACAAUCCAGGGCACAUUAGUGCGUGCUAGGGAUACAAAAGCAGAUGAGAUAGUCCUUACCUCCAAGUUAUCUGGAUUCUGUUGAGGAGCUGCAUAUAACCUGUACACAUUCACCAUGACAAUCUAGACUCAAAAUCAAUCCAGGGACUAAGGACUGGGGAAAUCAUCAGGGGAGAGAUCUCUUGAAGGAGAAGGCAUUUGACCUGAACCUUAAAGGGAAGGAAAAGUCCCAAUUACUAGAGGUGAUUCCAGACAUGGGGUGACUUUCACUGUACAGAAGAAUGAAGGUGGAAGGGAGAGGGUCCAGUAAAUCAGCUUGGUUGUAGUGGAGAAUGCUGUGGGAGGAGCAAGAUACAGUCAGUUUGUAGUGUUCCUGACAAUUUUGCAAUUUAUCCCAAAGGCAAUAGCAUCCACCAGGGUUUCUGUACGGAGAUUAGUCCUGUCCUUACUAAUCCAGAUCCCUGCCUCAUAGUUGCCUGACCCCUUCUACAUUUAAGGAAUCAGCAUGGGAUAGUUGAAAGCUUGAACUAGGGUGUCUGUGGUGUGCAUGGAGGGAAGGGGUGGUGGUGGGGGUGACAUUGAUGAAAUUUAAAGUAAUUGGAUAUGAGGAGUGAGUGAACUGAGUGAAGGGCCAAGGAAGACUCCUAGCUUGGAAACCCGGAAAUGAGAAAAUGCUGAAGAUGGCUUGUAAAUUGCCAAACAUGGGAAGACUUGUUGGAACUGAGAAGAAGUGAAGAAAGUUGAACAGAAGAACAUACCCGAUGACUACAAUAAUGUCAACAAAAGCCAGCACUAAAGGACAUUAGAACAUGGAGGAGAUCCGGCACCAGAGGAUGGAACCCAGGACAUCUCAAAGCAGAAAUGGAGACUUCAGAAUUUACCAAGACUGGAAAAAUCAUCAAAUAUGGAAACCUGGUUUCUUCAAUCUACAGAAGAGCUCCAAGAUCUGCAGCCAGGGAAUGGACACCAGCAUGAGAACAUAAGUCCCAGAAAACACCUUUUGUAGCUCCGUGGGCCUGUGGUCGCCAUUAUCAUCAUCAUUGUCGACAUUAUUGUUGUCCUCGUCGUCGUCCUCAUCCUCGUCGUCACUGCUCCAUGCUGUCUGGACCAGAGUGAUCCUUCUUUGUAAUCCAAAGUCAAAUCUACAGAGAAAGCAUGGCCCAUGGUCACAAAGGGACAUUGCUGCUGCUGCUCAACACUGCCAGUGCCAUUAGAAUUCUAAAUUACUUGAGAAUGCCUCAUGGAUUUGGGCAAGUUCUCUUUCGUUUUCCAGUCUAUGAACUCCCCAGAGAUUCAAUCCAGUUGUUCUGGGUUUCCAUUUUCCCUAAAGUGAAGCCUUUACAUCUCGGAAAACUUUGACAGAAAGCUAAGAGCAAGACUCAAGAAUAGAACCCAGCAUUCCUAGCUAUUGCAUCCAGUGUUCAAUCAUAUUAACAAUUUCUUGAAAGAAACACUACUAAAUUAUGAUCAUGGCUGGCCAGCUCAGACAUAUUCUUCAAGUGUAAUUGAUAAAGAAUACUCAGGUGAAUUUGUGGAAGUAGAUCACUGCUUCCUCCUAAUCUUCCCUAGUGCUCCUCUUUUGGGGAACUGUUUUAAUUUGUUUCAGGAGUGGAAGUUCUUGCACCCCCUAAAAAACCCCAAGAUGGUGGAACAGAGAGAACAUUCCAGUGGAACUCUACCAACUUGCCUUUCCAAAAAACUUGAAAAUAUCAAAUAAUCAAAUUCUGAAGUGCCAUACAAAGAAAAAGUUUGUCCAGCUGAAAAAAAUGUUUGAGGUGAGGAGAAGUUUGGGUCACUGGCUCAGAAGGCAAAGGGAAGGGCACUUACUAUGGAUCUUGGAGGACGGGAGGCACAGUGAUAGCUGCAGGAAUAGUUGUCACAUUUCUUAAAGUUUUCACUGCCAAGAAACCAAGUAUUAGACAACUGCUAAAAAGGUGAUUAGGGGCAGCUCUGUGUGGGCACGGUAGACAUUACCAGUUUCACACAAAGGGGGAGAGAGGCCAAUGCCAUCACAAAAAACUGGUGGUAACACCUGGAGCUCCAGAGUGAAGACGAUCACUUGUUAUCACAAGUAAACACAUUCCCUGCUACUGCUCCAGGGUGAAGAGGAGCACCUGCCAGCAUGAUGACAAGGAAGAGGAAGUCCCCCCUGCAGCUACUAGGUGAAGAGACCUUGCUAUAACAAAAAAAGCAAUAGUCCCAGCUGCAUCUCAGGGGUGCAUAGAGGCCUUUCCCAUUACAACAAAGCAGAGGUAUCGGCUGCAGUUCCAGUUUGAAGAAGACCACUUUCCCAUCACAAGUAACCAGAAGUCCCAGCUGUGGGUCCAGGGUGAGGAAGAGCACUUGUCAUCACAAUUAAUCAGAAGUCCCUGCUGCUGCUCCAGGGUGAAGAACAACAGUUGCCACCACAAGUUACCAGAAGUCCCUGAUGCUGCUCCAGGGUGAAGAGGAGCACUUGCCAUCACAAGUAACUAGAAUUCCCUGUAACAAGCUCCAGGGUGAAGAGGAGCACUUGCCAUCACAAGCAAGUAGUGGUCCCAGCUGCAGCCAUGGGACGGAGAGAGGGCUUUGGCAUCACAACAAACCAGAGGUCCCAGUUGCAGCUCCAGUUAGAAGAAAAACACUUUGCAUCACAAGUCACCAGAAUUCCCAGCUGCGGGUCCAGGGUGAAGAAAAGAACUUGCCAUCACAAGUAGCCAGAAGUCCCUGCUGCUGCUCCAGGGGGAAGAGGAGAACUUGCCAUCAAAAUGAAGCAGAGGUCCCAGCUGCAGCUCUGGGGUGGAGAGAGGCCUUUGUCAUCACAACCAAGCAGAGGUCCCAGCUGCAGUUUGCAUUUGAAGAACACUUCCCAUCAUCACAAGAAACCAGAAGUCCCUGCUGCUACUCCAGGGUGAAGAAGAACAAUUGCCAUUACAAGUUACUAGAAGUACCUGCUGCAGCUCCAGGGAGAAGAGGAAGACUUGCCAUCACAAGUAACCAGAAGGCCCAGCUGCAGCUACUGGGUGAAGACCAAUUGCCAUCACAAAAAUGGAAAGAACGCAGCUGAAGCUCCAGGGUAGAGAGAGGCCUUUGCCAUCAAACCCAUGUAGAGGUCUCAGUUACAGCUCCAGGAUACAGAGAGGCCUUUGCCAUCACAACCAAGCAGAGGUACCAGCUGCAGAUCCAGGAUGGAGAGAGGCCUUUGCCAUCACAACCUAGCAGAGUUCUAAGCUGCAGCUCCCGUUGGAAGAAGAAAACUUGCCAUAACAAAUAACGGGAAAUCCCAGCUGCAGGUCCAGUGUGACGAAAAGAAAUUGCCAUCACAAGUUACCAAAAGUCCCUGCUGCUGCUCCACAGUGAAGCGGAAAACUGGCCACCACAAGUAACCAGAAGUCCCUGCUGCAGCUCCAGGGUGAAGAGCAACACUUGCCAUCACAAGUUACCAGAAGUCCUUGAUGCUGCUCCAGGGUGAAGAACAGCAGUUGCCAUCACAAGUUACAAGAAGUCCCUGCUGCUGCUCUAGGGUGAAGAUGAACACUUGCCAUCACAAGUUACCAGAAGUCCCUGCUUCUGCUCCACAAUGAAGAGGAACACUUGCCAUCACAAGUUAGCAGAAAUCUUUCCUGCAGCUACUGGUUGAAGAAGACCAAUUGCCCUAAGAAAAAUGCAGAGGACGCAGCUGCAGCUUAGGGAUGCAGAGAGGCCUUUGCCAUCACAACUAAGCAGAUGUGCAAGCUGCAACUCCCGUUUGAAGAGGAACACUUCCUAUCACCAAUAACUGGAAGUCCCAGGGCAAGGUCCAGUGUGAUGAAAAGAACUUGCUAACACAAGUAACCAGAAGUCCCUGCUGCUGCUCCAGGGUGAAGAGGAACACUUGUCAUCACAAGUAACCAGAAGUCACUGCUGUUGUCCAAGGGUGAAGACGAACACUUGCCAACACAAGUUAACAGAAGUCCCUGCUGCGGCUCCAGGGUGAACAGGACCACUUGCCAUCAAAAGUUACCAGAAGUCCCUGCUGCAGCUCCUUGGUGAAGAGGACCACUUGCCAUCACAAGUUACCAGAAGUCCCUGCUGCAGCUACAGGGUGAACAGGACCACUUGCCAUCAAAAGUUACCAGAAGUCCCUCCUGCAGUUCCAGGGUGAAGAGGAACACUUGCCAUCACAAGUUACCAGAAGUCCUUGAUGCUGCUCCAGGGUGAAGAACAACAGUUGCCAUCACAAGUUACAAGAAGUCCCUGCUGCUUAUCCAGAGUGAAGAUGAACACUUGCCAUCACAAGUUACCAGAAGUCCCGGCAGCAGCUGCAGGGUGAAGAGGAUCACUUGCCAUCAAAAGUUACCAGAAAUCUUUCCUGCAGCUACUGGGUGAAGAAGACCAAUUGCCCUAAGAAAAAUGCAGAGGACUCAGCUGCAGCUUAGGGAUGGAGAGAGGCCUUUACCAUCACAACUAAGCAGAUGUGCAAGCUGCAACUCCCGUUUGAAGAAGAACACUUCGUAUCACCAAUAACUGGAAGUCCCAGCGGCAGGUCCAGUGUGAUGAAAAGAACUUGCCACCACAAGUAACCAGAAGUCCCUGCUGCUGCUCCAGGGUGAAGAGGAACACUUGUCAGCACAACUUACCAGAAAUCCUUGCUGUAGCUCCAGGGUGAAGAAGACCACGUGUGACCACAAGUACCCAGAAGUCCCUGCUGCUGUUCUAGGGUGACGAGGAACACUUAUGACGCCAAGUAACCAGAAGUCCCUGCUGCUGCUCCAGGGUGAAAGGGAACACUUGCCAGCACAACUUACCAGAAGUCCCUGCUGCAGCUCCAGGGUAUAGAGGAACACUUGCCAGGUCAACUUACCAGAAGUCCCUGCUGCUGCUCCAGGGUGAAGAGGAACACUUGCCAGCAUAACUUACCAGAAGUCCCUGCUGCUGCUCCAGGGUGAAGAGGAAUACUUGCCAGCACAACUUACCAGAAGUCCCUUCUGCAGUUCCAGGGUGAAGAGGAACACUUGCCAUCACAAGUUACAAGAAGUCCCUGCUGCUUAUCCAGAGUGAAGAUGAACAUUUGCCAUCACAAGUUACCAGAAGUCCCUGCUGCAGCUCCCGGGUGAAGAGGACCACUUGCCAUCAAAAGUUACCAGAAAUCUGUCCUGCAGCUACUGGGAGAAGAAGACCAGUUGCCCUAAGAAAAAUGCAGAGGAUGCAGCUGCAGCUUAGGGUGUAGAGAGGCCUUUGCCAUCACAACAAAGAAACUGUCUCAGCUGCAGCUCCACGAUGGAGAGAGGCCUUUGCAAUCACAACUACACAGAUGUCCCAGCUGCAGCUUAUGGGUGGAGGGAGGCCUUUGCCAUCACAACUAAGCAGAGGUCUAAGCUGCAGCGCCCAUUUGAAGAAUAACACUUCCUAUCACCAACAACUGUAAGUCACAGUUGCAGGUCCAGUGUGACGAAAAGAACUUUCCACCACAAGUAACCAGAAGUCCCUGCUGCUGCUCCACAGUGAAGAGGAAGACUUGCCAUCACAAGUUAACAGAAGUCCCUGCUGCAGCUCCAGGGUGAAGAGUAACACUUGCCAUCACAAGUUAACAGAAGUCCUUGAUGCUGCUCCAGGGUGAAGAGUAACACUUGCCAUCACAAGUUAACAGAAGUCCUUGAUGCUGCUCCAGGGUGAAGAACAACAGUUGCCAUCACAAGUUAUAAGAAGUCCCUGCUGCUGCUCCAGGGUGAAGAUGAACACUUGCCAUCACAAGUUACCAGAAGUCCCUGCUACAGCUCCAGGGUGAAGAGGAACACUUGCCAUCACAAGUUACCAGAAGUCCCUGCAGCAGCUCCAGGGUGAAGAGGACCACUUGCCAUCACAAGUUACCAGAAGUCCCUGCUGCAGCUACAGGGUGAACAGGACCACUUGCCAUCAAAAGUUACCAGAAAUCUUUCCUGUAGCUACUGGGUGAAGAAGACCAAUUUCCCUAAGAAAAAUGCAGAGGACGCAGCUGCAGCUUAGGGGUGGAGAGAGGUCUUUGCUAUCAAAACAAAGUAGAGGUCUCAUUUAUCGCUCCAGGAGAGAAUGAGCCCUUUGCCAUCAGAACUACGCAGAUGGCCCAAGUGUAGCUUAGAAGUGGAGAGACCCCUUGGCCAUCACAACUAAACAGAGGUCCAAGCUGCAGCAACCGUUUGAAGAAGAACACUUCCUAUCACCAAUAACUUGAUGUCCCAGCUGCAGGUCCAUUGUGACAAAAAGAACUUGCCACCACUAGUAACCAGAAGUCCCUACUACAGCUCCAGGGUGAAGAGGAACAGUUGCCAGCACAACUUACCAGAAGUCCCUGCUACAGCUCCAGGGUGAAGAGGAACACUUGCCAGCACAACUUACCAGAAAGUUGUAGCUCCUUGCUGUAGCUCCAGGGUGAAGAAGACCACGUGUGACCACAAGUACCCAGAAGUGCCUGCUGCUGCUCUGGGGUGACAAGGAACACUUAUGACCCCAAGUAACCAGAAGUCCCUGCUGCCGCUACAGGGUGAAGAGAAACACUUGUCAUCACAAGUAACCAGAAAUCCCUGCUGCUGCCCUAGGCUGAAAAGGAACACUUGCCAACACAACUUACCAGAAGUCCCUGCUGCUGCUCCAGGGUGAAGAGGAAUACUUGCCAGCACAACUUACCAGAAGUCCCUGCUGCUGCUCCAGGGUGAAGAGGAACACUUGUGACCCCAAGUAACCAGAAGUCCCUACUGCCGCUGCUGGGUGAAGAGAAAAACUUGUCAUCACAAGUAAGCAGAAGUCCCUGCUGGAGCUCCAGGGUGAAGAGGACCACUUGCCAUGGAAUGUUAGCAGAAAUCGUUCCUGUAACUACUGGGUGAAGAAGACCAAUUGCCCUAAAAAAAAUGCAUAGGACACAGCUGCAGCUUAGGGUUGAGAGAGGCCUUUGCCAUCACAACUACAUAGAAGUGCCAGCUGCAGCUUAUGGGUGGAAGUAGGCCAUUCCCAUCACAACUAAGCGGAGGUCCAAGCUGUAGCUCCCGUUUGAGGAACACUUCCUAUCUCCAAUAACUGGACGUCCCACCUGUAGGUCCAGUGUGACGAAAAGAAUUUGCCACCACAAGUACCCAGAAUCCCUGCUGCUGCUCAAGGGUGAAGAACAACUGUUGCCAUCACAAGUUACCCUGAAGUCCCUGCUGCCGCUCCAGGGUGAAGAGGAACACUAGUCAACACAAGUAGCCAGAAAUCCCUGCUGCUGCUCCAGGGUGAAGAGAAACACUUUUCAUCACAAGUAACCAGCAAUCCCUGCUGCUGCUCCAGGUUGAAGAGGAACACUUGCCAGCACAACUUAACAGAAGUCCCUACUGCCGCUCCAGGGUGAAGAGGAACACUUGCCAUCACAACUUGCCAGAAGUCCCUUCUGCAUCUCCAGGGUGAAGAGGAACACUUCCCAUCACAAGUUAUUAUAAGUCCCUGUUGCAGCUCCAGGGUGAAGAGGAACACUUGCCAUCACAUGUUGUCAGAAGUCCCUUCUUAAGCUCCAGGGUGAAGAGGAAUAAUUGCGAACAUAAGUACCCCUAAUUCCUGCUGCUGCUCGAGGGCGAAGAACAACUGUUGCCAUCAGAUGUUGCCUGAAGUCCCUGCUGCCGCUCCAGGGUGAAGAGGAACACUUCUGACCACAAGUAACCAAAAGUCCCUGCUGCAGCUCUAGGGUGAAGAAGAACAUUUCUGACCACAAGUAACCAAAAGUCCCUGCUGCAGCUCCAGGGUGAAGAGGAACACUUGCCAUCACAAGUAACGAGAAAUCCCUGCUGCUGCUCCAGGGUGAAGAACAACAGUUGCCAUCACAUGUUGCCAGAAGUCCCUGCUGUUGGUCCAGGUUGACGACGAACACUUUUGAUCACAAGUAACCAGAAGUCCCUGCUGUAGUUCCAGGGUGAAGAGGAACACUUGUGAACAGAAGUACCCAGAAGUCCCUGCUGCUGCUCCAGGGUGAAGACGAACAAUUGUCAUCACAAGUAACCAGAAGUCCCUGCUGCGGCUCCAGGGGGAAGAGGACCACGUGCCAUGAAAUGUUACCAGAAAUCUUUCCUGAAGCUACUGGGUGAAGAAGACCAAAUUCCCUAAGAAAAAUGCAGAAGACACAGCUGCAGCUUAGGGGUGGAGAGAGGCCUUUGAUAUCACAACAAAUCAAAGGUCUCAGUUGCAGCUCUGGGUUGGACUGAGGUCUUUGCUAUCACAACCUAGCAGAGGUCUCAUUUACUGCUCCAGGAUAGAACGAGGCCUUUGCCAUCACAACUACGCAGACGUCCCAACUGCAGCUUAGGGGUGGAGAGAGGCCUUUGCCAUCCCAACCAAGUAAAGGUCCAAGCUGCAGCUCCCCUUUGAAGAAGAACACUUCCUAUCACCAAUAACUAGACGUCCCAGCUGCAUGUCCAGUGUGAGAAAAAGAACUUGCCAACACAAGUAACCAGAAAUCCCUGGUGCUGCUCCAGGGUGAAGAACAACAGUUGCCAUCACAACUUGCCGAAGUCCCUGCUGCUGCUCGAGGGUGAAGACAAACACUUGUCAUCACAAGUAACCAGAGUUCCCUGCUGCAGCUCCAGGGUGAAGACGAACAGUUGUCAUCACAAGUACCCAGAAGUCCCUGCUGCUGCUCCAGGGUGACGAACAAUAGUUGCCAUUAAAAGUUGCCUGAAGUCCCUGCAGCUUUUCCAAGGUGAAGAGGAACUCUUGCCAUCACAAGUUACCAGAAGUCCCGGCUGCUGCUCCAAGGUGAAGAGGACCACGUGCCCUGAAAUCUUUUCUGAAACUACUGGGUGAUGAAGAUUAAAUUCCCUAAGAAAAAUGCAGAAGACACAUCUGCAGCUUACGGGUGGAGAGAGGCCUUUGAUAGCACAACAAAUCAGAGGUCGCAGUUGCACCUCUGGGUUGGACAGAGGUCUUUGCUAUCACAACCUAGCAGAGGUCUCAUUUACCGCUCCAGGAUAGAACGAGGCCUUUGCCAUCACAACUACGCAGACUUCCCAACUCCAGCUUAGGGGUGGAGAGAGGUCUUUGCCAUCACAACUAAGCAGAGGUCCAAGCUGCACCUCCUGUUUGAAGAACACUUCCUAUCACCAAUAACUAAAUGUCCCAGCUGCAGGUCCAGUGUGAAGAAAAGAACUUGCCUCCACAAGUAACAAGAAGUCCCUCCUGCUGCUCCAGGGUGAAAAACAAUAUUUGCCAUCACAAGUUGCCAGAAGUCCCUGCUGCUGCUUCAGGGUGAAGAGGAACACUUGUGACCACAAGUACCCAGAAAUCCCUGCUGCUACUCCAUGGUGAAGAACAACAGUUGCCAUCACAAGUAAUCAGAAGUCCCUGCUGUACCUCCAGGGUGAAGAGGAACACUUGUGAUCACAAGUAACCAAAAGUCCCUCCUGCAGCUCCAAGGUGAAGAGGAACAACUUGCCAUCAAAAGUUACCAGAAGGCCCUGCUGUAGCUCCAGGGUGAAGAGGAAAAGUUGUGACCACAAGUACCCAGAGGUCCCUGCUGCUGCUCCAGGGUGAAGAGGAACACUUGUGACCCCAAGUAACCAGAAGUCCCUGCUGCCGCUACAGGGUGAAGAGAAACACUUGUCAUCACAAGUAACCAGAAAUCCCUGCUGCUGCCCUAGGUUGAAAAGGAACACUUGCCAGCACAACUUACCAGAAGUCCCUGCUGCAGCUCCAGGGUAUAGAGGAACAAUUGCCAGGUCAAUUUACCAGAAGUCCCUGCUGCUGCUCUAGGGUGAAGAGGAACACUUGCCAGCACAACUUACCCGAAGUCCCUGCUGCAGCUCCAGCGUAUAGAGGAACACUUGCCAGGUCAACUUACCAGAAGUCCCUGCUGCUGCUCCAGGGUGAAGAGGAACACUUGUGACCCCAAGUAACCAGAAGUCCCUGAAGCCGCUACAGGGUGAAGAGAAACACUUGUCAUCACAAGUAACCAGAAAUCCCUGCUGCUGCUCCAGGUUGAAGAGGACCACUUGCCAUCAAAUGUUAGCAGAAAUCUUUCCUGUAACUACUGGGUGAAGAAGACCAAUUGCCCUAAGAAAAAUGCAUAGGACAGAGCUGAAGCUUAGGGUUGAGAGAGGCCUUUGCCAUCACAACUACAUAGAUGUGCCAGCUGCAGCUUAUGGGUGGAAGGAGGCCAUUCCCAUCACAACUAAGCAGAGGUCCAAGCUGUAGCUCCUGUUUGAAGAACACUUCCUAUCUCCAAUAACUGGACGUCCCACCUGUAGGUCCAGUUUGACGAAAAGAACUUGCCACCACAAGGAACCAGAAGUCCCUGCUGCAUCUCCAGGGUGACGAGGAAUACUUGUGACCACAAGUACCCAGAAUCCCUGCUGCUGCUCAAGGGCAAAGAACAACUGUUGCCAUCACAAGUUACCCUGAAGUCCCUGCUGCCACUCCAGGGUGAAGAGGAACACUAGUCAACACAAGUAGCCAGAAGUCCCUCCUGCUGCUCCAGGGUGAAGAGGAACACUUGCCAUCACAACUUGCCAGAAGUCCCUGCUGCAGCUCCACGGUGAAGAGGAACACUUGCCAUCACAUGUUGUCAGAAGUCCCUUCUUAAGCUCCAGGGUGAAGAGGAAUAAUUGCGACCAUAAAUACCCCUAAUUCCUGCUACUGCUCGAGGGCAAAGAACAACUGUUGCCAUCACAUGUUGCCUGAAGUCCCUGCUGCCGCUCCAAGGUGAAGAGGAACACUUGUGACCACAAGUACGCAGAAGUCCCUGCUGCUGCACCAGGGUGAAGAAAAACAGUUGCCAUUACAAGUUGCCAGAAGUCCCUGCUGCACCUCCAGGGUGAAGAGGAACACUUGUGACCACAAGUAACCAGAAGUCCUUGCUGCAGCUCCAGGGUGAAGAGGAACACUUGCCAUCACAAGUAACGAGAAAUCCCUGCUGCUGCUCCAGGGUGAAGAACAACAGUUGCCAUCACAUGUUGCCAGAAGUCCCUGCUGCUGGUCCAGGGUGACGACAAACACUUUUGAUCACAAGUAACCAGAAGUCCGUGCAUUAGUUCCAGGGUGAAGAGGAACAUUUGUGAACAGAAGUACCCAGAAGUCCCUGUUGCUGCUCCAGGGUGAAGAAGAACACUUGUGACCACAAGUAUCCCAAAGUCUCUGCUGCUGCUCCAGGGUGAAGACGAACAAUUGUCAUCACAAGUAACCAGAAGUCCCUGCUGUAGCUCCAGGGUGAAGAGGAACACUUGUGACCACAAGUACCCAGAAGUCCCUGCUGCUGCUCCAGGGUGAAGAACAACAGUUGCCAAUACAAGUUGCCUGAAGUCCCUGCUGCUGCUCCAAGGUGAAGAGGACCACGUGCCAUGAAAUGUUACCAGAAAUCUUUCCUGAAGCUACUGGAUGAAGAAGACCAAAUUCCCUAAGAAAAAUGCAGAAGACACAGCUGGAGCUUAGAGGUGUAGAGAGUCCUUUGAUAUCACAACAAAUCAAAGGUCUCAGUUGCAGCUCUUGGUUGGACUGAGGUCUUUGCCAUCACAACCUAGCAGAGGUCUCAUUUACUGCUCCAGGACAAAACGAGGCCUUUGCCAUCACAACUACGCAGACGUCCCAACUGCAGCUUAGGGGUGGAGAGAGGCCUUUGCCAUCCCAACCAAGUAAAGGUCGAAGCUGCAGUUACCCCUUUGAAGAAGAACACUUCCUAUCACCAAUAACUAGACGUCCCAGCUGCAUGUCCAGUGUGACAAAAAGAACUUCCCAACACAAGUAACCAGAAAUCCCUGGUGCUGCUCCAGGGUGAAGAACAACAGUUAACAUAACAUAUAACCAGAAGUCCAUGCUGCUACUCCAUGGUGAAGAACAACAGUUGCCAUCACAAGUUGCCAGAAGUCCCUGCUGCUGCUCGAGGGUGAAGACGAACACUUAUCAUCACAAGUAACCAGAAGUCCCUGCUGCAGCUCCAGGGUGAAGUCGAACAGCUGUAAUCACAAGUACCCAGAAGUCCCUGCUGCUGCUCCAGGGUGACGAACAAUAGUUGCCAUUACAAGUUGCCUGAAGUCCUUGUAGCUUUUCCAACGUGAAGAGGAACUCUUGCUAUCAGAAGUUAGCAGAAGUCCCGGUGGUAGCUCCAAGGUGAUGAGGAACACUUGUCAUCACAAGUACCCAGAAGUCCCUGCUGCUGCUCUAGGGUGAAGAAUAACAGUUUCCAUUACAAGUUGACUAAAGUCCCUGCUGCUGUUCCAAGGUGAAGAGGACCAUGUGCCCUGAAAUCUUUUCUAAAUCUACUAGGUGAUGAAGACUAAAUUCCCUAAGAAAAAUGCAGAAGACACAGCUGCAGCUUACGGGUCGAGAGAGGCCUUUGAUAGCACAACAAAUCAGAGGUCGCAGUUGCACCUCUGGGUUGGACAGAGGUCUUUGCUAUCACAACGUAGCAGAGGUCUCAUUUACCGCUCCAGGAUAGAACGAGGCCUUUGCCAUCACAACUAAGCAGAGGUCCAAGCUGCACCUCCCAUUUGAAGAAUACUUCCUAUCACCAAUAACUAAAUGUCCCAGCUGCAGGUCCAGUGUGAAGAAAAGAACUUGCCUCCACAAGUAACCAAAAGUCCCUCCUGCUGCUCCAGGGUGAAAAACAAUAUUUGCCAUCACAAGUUGCCAGAAAUCCCUGGUGCUACUCCAGGGUGAAGAACAAUAGUUAACAUAACAUGUAACCUGAAGUCCCUGCUGCUGCUUCAGGGUGAAGAGGAACACUUGUGACCACAAGUACCCAGAAAUCCCUGUUGCUACUCCAUGGUUAAGAACAACAGUUACCAUCACAAGUUGCCAGAAGUCCCUGCUGUUGCUCCAGGGUGAAGAGGAACACAUGUGAUCACAAGUAACCAAAAGUCCCUCCUGCAGCUCCCAGGUGAAGAGGAACACUUGCCAUCAAAAGUUACCAGAAGUCCCUGCUGCAGCUCCAGGGUGAAGACGAACAUUUGUCAUCACAAGUAAUCAGAAGUCCCUGCUGUAGCUCCAGGGUGAAGAGGAACACUUGUGAGCAAAAGUACGCAGAAGUCCCUGCUGCUGCUGCAGGGUGAAGAGGAACACUUGUGACCACAAGUAACCAGAAUUCCCUGCUGAUGCUCUAGGGUGAAGAGGAAUACUUGUCAUCACAUGUUACCAGAAGUUCCUGCUGCAGGUCCAGGGUAAAGACGAACACUUGUGACCAUAAGUACCCAGAAGUCCCUGCUGCUGCUCCAGGGUGAAGAACAACAGUUUCCAUUACAAGUUCCCUGAAGUCCCUGCUGCUGCUCCAAGGUGAAGAAGACCACCUGCCAUGAAAUGUUACUAGAAAUCUUACCGGAAGCUACUAGGUGAAUAUGACCAAAUUCCCUAAGAAAAAUGCAGAAGACGCAGCUGCAGCUUAGGGGUGGAGAGAGGCCUUUGCCAUCACAACCAAGCAGAGGUCCAAGCUGCAGCUCCUGUUUGAAGAAGAACCCUUCCUAUCACCAAUAACUGGACAUCACAGCUGCAGGUCCAGUGUAAAGAAAAGAACUUGCCUCCACAAGUAUCGAGAAGUCCCUCCUGCUGCUCCAGGGUGAAGAACAACUGUUGCCAUCAAAAGUUACCAGAAGUCCCUGCUGCAGCUCCAGGGUGAAGACGAACAUUUGUCAUCACAAGUAAUCAGAAGUCCCUGCUGUAGCUCCAGGGUGAAGAGGAACACUUGUGAGCAAAAGUACCCAGAAGUCCCUGCUGCUGCUGCAGGGUGAAGAGGAACACUUGUGACCACAAGUACCCAGAAGUCCCUGCUGCUGCUGCAGGGUGAAGAGGAACACUUGUGACCACAAGUAACCAGAAUUCCCUGCUGACGCUCUAGGGUGAAGAGGAAUACUUGUCAUCACAUGUUACCAGAAGUUCCUGCUGCAGGUCCAGGGUAAAGACGAACACUUGUGACCAUAAGUACCCAGAAGUCCCUGCUGUACCUCCAGGGUGAAGAACAACAGUUUCCAUUACAAGUUCCCUGAAGUCCCUGCUGCUGCUCCAAGGUGAAGAAGACCACCUGCCAUGAAAUGUUACUAGAAAUCUUACCGGAAGCUACUAGGUGAAGACGACCAAAUUCCCUAACAAAAAUGCAGAAGACGCAGCUGCAGCUUAGGGGUGGAGAGAGGCCUUUGCCAUCACAACAAAGCAGAGGUCCAAGCUGCAGCCCCUGUUUGAAGAAGAACCCUUCCUAUCACCAAUAACUGGACAUCACAGCUGCAGGUCCAGUGUAAAGAAAAGAACUUGCCUCCACAAGUAUCGAGAAGUCCCUCCUGCUGCUCCAGAGUGAAGAACAACUGUUGCCAUCACAAUUUGCCAGAAGCCCCUGCUACUGCUCCAGGGUGAAGAGGAACACUUGUGACGACAAGUAACCAGAAGUCCCUGCUGACGCUCUAGGUUGAAGAGGGAUACUUGCCAUCACAAGUUACCAGAUGUCCCUGCUGCAGCUCCAGGGUGAAGAGCAACACUUGCCAUCAAAGGUUACCAGAAAUCUUUCCUGUAGCUACUGGGUGAAGAAGACCAAUUACCCCAAGAAAAAUGCAGAGGACGCAGCUGCAGAUUAAGGGUGGAGAGAGGCCUUUUCUAUCAAAACAAAGCAGAGAUCUCAGCUGCAGCUCCAAGAUGGAGAGAGGCGUUUUCCAUCACAACUACAUAGAUGUCCCAGCUGCAGCUUAAGGAUGGAUGUAGGCCUUUGCUAUCACAACUAAGCAGAAGUCCAAGCUGCACCUCCCGUUUGAAGAAAAACACUUCAUAUUCCCCAUAACUAUACGUCCCAGUUGCAUGUCCAGUGUGACAAAAAGAUCUUGCCACCACAAGUAACCAGAAGUCCCUGGUACUGCUCCAGGGUGAAGAACAACAGUUAACAUAACAUGUAAGCAGAAGUCCCUGCUGCUACUCCAGGGUGAAGAACAACAGUUGUCAUCACAAGUAACCAGAAGUCCCUGCUGCUGCUCCAGGGUGAAGAACAACAGUUACCAUUACAAAUUGCCUGAAGUCCCUGCUGCUGCUCCAAGGUGAGGAGGAACACUUGCCAUCACAAGUUACCAGAAGUCCCUGAUGUAGCUCCAGGGUGAAGAGGAACACUUGUGAUCACAAGUUACCAGAAGUCCCUGCUGCUGCUCCAAGGCGAAGAGGAUGACUUGUGACCACAAGUACCCAGAAAUCCCUGCUGCUGCUCCAGGGUGAAGAACAACAGUUGCCAUUACAAGUUGCCUGAAGUACCUGCUGCUGCUCCCAGGUGAAGAGGAACACUUGCCAUCACAAGGUACCAGAAGUCACAGCUGUAGGUCCAGGGUGAAGAGGAACACUUGUGAUCACAAGUUACCAGAAGUCCCUCCUGCUGCUUCAGCGUGAAGAACAACAGUUUCCAUUACAAGUUGCCUGAAGUCCCUGCUGCUGCUCCAAGGUGAAGAGGACCACGUGCCAUGAAAGGUUACUAGAAAUCUUUCCUGAAGCUAGUGGGUGAAGAAGACCAAAUUCCCUAAGAAAAAUGCAGAAGAUACAGCUGUAGCUUAGGGGUGGAGAGAGAAGGCUUUGAUAUCAUAACAAAUCAGAGGUCUCAGUUGCAGCUCUGGGUUGGACAGAGGUCUUUGCUAUCGCAACCUAGCAGAGGUCUCAUUUACCAUUUCAGGAUAGAACGAGGCCUUUGCCAUCACAACUACGCAGACGUCUCAACUGCAGCUUAGGGGUGGAGAGAGGCCUUUGCCAUCACAACUAAGCACAGGUCUCAGCUGCAGUUCUAGGAAGUAGAGACACCUUUGCCAUCACAACCAAGAAGCUGUCUCAGCUGCAGCUCCAAGAUGGAGAGAGGCCUUUGCCAUCACAACUAAGCAGAAGUCCAAGCUGCACCUCCCGUUUGAAGAAGAACACUUCCUAUCACCAAUAAGUAGAUGUCCCAGCUGCAGGUCCAGUGUGAAGAAAAGAACUUGCCUCCACAAGUAAUGAGAAGUCCCUCCUGCUGCUCCAGGGUGAAAAACAACAUUUGCCAUCAUAAGUUGCCAGAAGUCCCAGCUGACGCUACAGGGUGAAGAGGAAUACUUGCCAUUACAAGUUACUAGAAGUCCCUGCUGCAGCUCCAGGGUGAAGAGCAACCUUUGCCAUCACAGGUUGCCAGAAGUCCCUGCUGUAGCUCCAGGGUGAAGAGGAACACUUGUGAUCACAAGUUACCAGAAGCCCCUGCUGCUGCUCCAGGGUGAAGAGGAACACUUGUGACCACAAGUACCCAGAAGUCCCUGCUGCUACUCCAGGGUGAAGAACAACAGUUGCCAUUACACGUUGCCUGAUGUACCUGCUGCUGUUCCAAGGUGAAGACGAACACUUGCCAUCACAAGUUACCAGAAGUCCCUGCUGUAGAUCCAGGGUGAAGAGGAACACUUGUGAUCACAAGUUACCAGAUGUCCCUGCUGCUGCUCCAGGGUGAAGAACAACAGUUUCCAUUACAAGUUGCCUAAAGUCCCUGCUGCUGCUCCAAGGUGAAGAGGACCAAGUGCUAUGAAAUGUUACCAGAAAUCUUUCCUGAAGCUAGUGGGUGAAGAAGACCAAUUUCGCUAAGAAAAAUGCAGAAGACACAGCUGCAGCUUAGGGGUGGAGAGAGGCCUUUGAUAUCAUAACAAAUCAGAGGUCUCAGUUGCAGCUCUGGGUUGGACAGAGGUCUUUGCUAUCACACCCUAGCAGAGGUCUCAUAUACCGCUCCAGGAUAGAACGAGGCCUUUGCCAUCACAACUACGCAGACGUCACAACUGCAGCUUAGGGGUGGAGAGAGGCCUUUGCCAUCACAACCAAGCAGAGGUCCAAGCUGCAGCUCCCGUUUGAAGAAGAACACUUACUAUCACCAAUAACUGGACAUCACAGCUGCGGGUCCAGUGUGAAGAAAAGCACUUGCCUCCAAAAGUAACCAGAAGUCCCUCCUGCUGCUCUAGGGUGAAGAACAACAGUUGCCAUCACAAGUUGCCAGAAGUCCCUGCUGCUGCUCCAGGGUGAAGAGGAACACUUGUGAUGUCAAGUAACCAGAAGUCCCUGCUGACGCUCCAGGGUGAAGAGGAAUACUUGCCAUCACAAGUUACCAGAAGUCCCUGCUGCAGCUCCAGGGUGAAGAGCAACACUUGCCAUCACAAGUUACCAGAAGUCCCUGCUGUAGCUCCAGGGUGAAGAGGAACACUUGCCAUCAAAAGUUACCAGAAGUCCCUGCUGUAGCUCCAGGGUGAAGAGGAACACUUGUGAUCACAAGUUACCAGAAGUCCCUGCUGCUGCUCUAGGGUGAAGAACAACAGUUGCCAUUACAAGUUGCCUGAAGUCCCUGCUGCAGCUCCAGGGUGAAGAGGAACACUUGCCAUCACAAGUUACCAGAAGUCCCUGCUGUAGUUCCAGGUUGAAGAGGAACAUCUGUGACCAUAAGUAACCUGAAGUCCCUGGUGCUGCUCCAGGGUGAAGAACAACAGUUGCCAUUACAAGUUGCCUGAAGUCCCUGCUGCUGCUCCAAGGUGAAGAGGAACACUUGCCAUCACAAGUUACCAGAAGUCCCUGCUGCAGCUCCAGGGUGAAGAGCAACACUUGCCAUCACAAGUUACCAGAAGUCCCUGCUGCAGCUCCAGGGUGAAGAGCAACACUUGCCAUCACAAGUUACCAGAAGUCCCUGCUGCAGCUCCAGGGUGAAGAGCAACACUUGCCAUCACAAGUUACCAGAAGUCCCUGCUGCAGCUCCAGCGUGAAGAGCAACACUUGCCAUCACAAGUUACCAGAAGUCCCUGAUGCUGCUCUAGGGUGUAGAAUAACAGUUUCCAUUACAAGUUGACUAAAGUCCCUACUGCUGUUCCAAGGUGAAGAGACCACGUGCCAUGAAAUGUUACCAGAAAUCUUUCCUGAAGCUACUGGGUGAAGAAGACCAAUUUCCCUAAGAAAAAUGCAGAAGACACAGCUGCAGCUUAGGGGUGGAGAGAGGCCUUUGAUAUCACAACAAAUCAGACGUCUCAGUUGCAGCUCUGGGUUGGACAGAGGUCUUUGCUAUCACAACCUAGCAUAGGUCUCAUUUACCGCUCCAGGAUAGAACGAGGCCUUUGCCAACCACAACUACGCAGGCGUCACAACUGCAGCUUAGUGGUGGAGAGCGGCCUUUGCUAUUACAACCAAGCAGAGGUCCAAGCUGCAGCUCCCGCUUGAAGAAGAACACUUCCUAUCACCAAUAAGUGGACUUCACAGCUGCAGCUCCAGUGUGAAGAAAAGGACUUUCCUCCAAAAGUAACCAGAAGUCCCUCCUGCUGCUCUAGGGUGAAGUACAACAGUUGCCAUCACAAGGUGCCAGAAGUCCCUGUUGCUGCUCCAGGGUGAAGAGCAACACUUGCCAUUACAAGUUACCAGAAGUCCCUGUUGCAGCUCCAGGGUGAAGAGCAACACUUGCCAUCACAAUUUGCCAGAAGUCCCUGCUGCAGCUCCAUGGUGAAUACGAACAUUUGCCAUCAAAAGUUACCAGAAAUCUUUCCUGUAGCUACUGGGUGAAGAUGACCAAUUACCCCAAGAAAAAUGCAGAGGACGCAGCUUCAGAUUAGGGGUGGAGACAGGCCUUUUCUAUCAAAACAAAGCAGAGGUCUCAGCUACAGCUCCGGGGUGGAGAGAGGCCUUUGCCAUCAGAAGAAAGCAGAGGUCUCAGCUGUAGUUCUAGGAUGUAGAGACACCUUUGCCAUCACAACCAAGAAGCUGUCUCAGCUGCAGCUCCCAGAUGGAGAGAGGCCUUUGCCAUCACAACUAAGCAGAAGUCCAAGCUGCAGCUCCUGUUUGAAGAAGAACACUUCCUAUCAGCAAUAAUUAGACGUCCCAGCUGCAUGUCCAGUGUGACAAAAAAACUUGUCACCACAAAUAACCAGAAUUUCCUGCUGCAGCUCCAGGGUGAAGACGAACACUUGUCAUCACAAGUAACCAGAAGUCCCUGCUGUAGCUCUAGGGUGAAGAGGAACACUUGUGAUCCUAAGUUACCAGAAGUCCCUGCUGUAGCUCCAGGGUGAAGAGGAACACUUGCCAUCACAAGUUACCAGAAGUCCCUGCUGUAGCUCCAGGGUGAAGAGGAACACUUGUGAUCACAAGUUACCAGAAGUCCCUGCUGUAGCUCCAGGGUGAAGAGGAACACUUGUGAUCACAAAUUACCAGAAGUCCCUGCUGCUCCUCUAGGGUGAAGAAUAACAGUUUCCAUUACAAGUUGACUAAAGUCCCUGCUGUUGCUCCAAGGUGAAGAGGUCCAAGUGCCAUGAAAUGUUGCCAGAAAUCUUUCCUGAAGAUACUGGGUGAAGAAGACCAAUUUCCCUAAGAAAAAUGCAGAAGACAUAGCUGCAGAUUAGUGGUGGAGAGAGGCCUUUGAUAUCACAACAAAUCAGAGGUCUCAGUUGCAGCUCUGGGUUGGACAGAGGUCUUUGCUAUCACAACCUAGCAUAGGUCUCAUUUACCGCUCCAGGAAAGAAUGAGGCCUUUGCCAUCACAACUACGCAGACGUCCCAACUGCAGCUUAGGGGUCGAGAGAGGCCUUUGCCAUCACAACCAAGCAGAGGUCCAAGCUGCAGCUCCCGUUUGAAGAAGAACACUUAAUAUCACCAAUACCUGGACAUCACAGCUGCGGGUCCAGUGCGAAGAAAAGCACUUGCCUCCAAAAGUAACCAGAAGUCCCUCCUGCUGCUCUAGGGUGAAGAACAACAGUUGCCAUUACAAGUUGCCAGAAGUCACUGCUGCUGCUCCAGGGUGAAGAGGAACACUUGUGAUGACAAGUAACCAGAAGUCCCUGCUGACGCUCCAGGGUGAAGAGGAACACUUGCCAUCACAAGUUACCAGAAGUCCCUGCUGCAGUUCCAGGGUGAAGAGCAACACUUGCCAUCAAUAGUUACCAGAAGUCCCUGCUGUAGCUCCAGGGUGAAGAGGAACACAUGUGAUCACAAGUUACCAGAAGUCCCUGCUGCUGCUCUAGGGUGAAGAAUAACAGUUUCCAUUACAAGUUGACUAAAGUCCCUGCUGCUGUUCCAAGGUGAAGAGGACCACGUGCCAUGAAAUGUUUCUAGAAAUCUUUCCUGAAGCUACUGGGUGAAGAAGACCAAUUUCCCUAAGAAAAAUGCAGAAGACACAGCUGCAGCUUAGUGGUGGAGAGAGGCCUUUGCCAGUACAACCAAGCAGAGGCCCAAGCUGCAGCUCCCGUUUGAAGAAGAACACUUCCUAUCACCAAUACGUGGACAUCACAGCUGCAGUUCCAGUGUGAAGAAAAGCACGUGCCUCCAAAAGUAACCAGAAGUCCCUCCUGCUGCUCUAGGGUGAAGAACAACAGUUGCCAUCACAAGUUCCCAGAAGUCCCUGCUGCAGCUCCAGGGUGAAGAGCAACACUUGCCAUCACAAGUUACCGGAAGUCCCUGCUGUAGCUCCAGGGUGAAGAGGAACACUUGUGAUCACAAGUUACCAGAAGUCCCUGCUGCUACUCCAGGGUUAAGAACAAAAGUUGCCAUCACAAGUUGCCAGAAGUCCCUGCUGCUGCUCCAGGGUGAAGAACAACAGUUCCCAUGACAAGUUGCCAGAAGUCCCUGCUGUUGCUCCAGGGUGAAGAGGAACACUUGUGACCACAAGCAACUAGAAGUCCCUGCUGACGCUCCAGUGUGAAGAGGAAUACUUGCUAUCACAAGAUACCAGAAGUUCCUGCUGCAGCUCCAGGGUGAAGAGGAACACUUGUCAUCAAAAGUAUCCAGAAGUCCCUGCUGUAGCUCCAGGGUGAAGAGGAACACUUGUUAUCACAAGUACCCAGAAGUCCCUGCUGCCGCUCCAGGUUGAAGAGCAAGACUUGUCAUCCUAAGUUGCCAGAAGUCCCUGCUGUAGCUCCAGGGUGAAUAGGACCAUUUGCCAUCAAAAGUUACCAGAAAUCUUUCCUGUAGCUACCGGGUGAUGAAGACCAAUUACCCCAAGAAAAAUGCAGUGGACCCAGCUGCAGAUUAGGGGGGGAGAGAGGCCUUUUCUAUCAAAACAAAGCAGAGGUCUCAGCUACAGCUCAGUGGUGGAGAGAGGCCUUUGCUAUCAGAAGAAAGCAGAGGUCUCAGCUGCAGUUCCAGGAUGCAGAGACAAAUUUUCCAUCACAACCAAGCAGCUGUCUCAGCUGCAGCUCCAAGAUGGAGAGAGGCCUUUGCCAUCACAACCAAGCAGAGGUCCAAGCUGCAGCUCCCAUUUGAAGAAGAACACUUACUAUCACCAAUAACUGGACAUCACAGCUGCAGGUCCAGUGUGAAGAAAAGCACUUGCCUCCAAAAGUAACCAGAAGUCCCUCCUGCUGCUCUAGGGUGAAGAAUAACAGUUGCCAUCACAAGUUGCCAGAAGUCCCUGCUGCUGCUCCAGGGUGAAGAGGAACACUUGUGAUGACAAGUAACCAGAAGUCCCUGCUGACGCUCCAGGGUGAAGAGGAAUACUUGCCAUCACAAGUUACCAGAAGUCCCUGCUGCAGCUCCAGGGUGAAGAGCAACACUUGCCAUCACAAGUUACCAGAAGUCCCUGCUGUACCUCCAGGGUGAAGAACAACAGUUUACAUUACAAGUUGCCUAAAGUCCCUGCUUCUGCACCAAGGUGAAGAGGACCACGUGCCAUGAAAUGUUACCAGAAAUCUUUCCUGAACAUAAUGGGUGAAGAAGACCAAUUUCGUGAUAUUCAUCUGGUAAACAUGGAAAGAAGCUGCUGUCCAAGUAAUUGAUGGUUUGAACCUGCUGUACCAAAGUUUUUUUCUAUGGAUCUCAACUUCGCCUUUGGAGUUCACUUUGAACUGCUUUUGAUUCAAUUCAUACGGACACCAGUUGUCAUUUUCACAUUGUCCUUCUCUGAUGUUUGAAAAGAUUGAAGGCAAAAGGAGAAGAGGAUGGCAGGAGGUGACAAAGAUGAGAGAGUGUCAUGGAAGGAGCAAACGUGAACUUGGACAGACUUUGUAAGAUAGCAGACAGAAGGGCCUGGUAUGCUAAGGUCUCUGGGGUCACAAAUCUUCAACGUUCAAAAUACCGGAGCCCAUAAAGUGAAUCAGAAGCAGGACAAACAGACAUCGGAUAACAAGACAGGGAUACACGAAGGAAGUGGGACUCAGAUGAGGACGUAUACAAUGGACGGGAACAAAGAAGACCCAAAGACAAGGAAUAUCCCAGAACAAUGAGAAUCCAUGACAUCUGCCCACCACAAUCUGUCCUGCCAUUCUCAAGACCAUGUGGCUUUCCUUCCCCUGCUUUGCUACCACAAGGAUGGAUACAGAACUUCCCACAACAAACACUGACAUCAUAUGGAGGAACCCGGUUUAUCUUCUUCUACGAUGGCAGAGUCAACUCUACAAAUGUACAUAGAAUAUAAGAGGGCCAAAAAGGAAUGGAAGGAAAGGAAAGGAAAGAGGAAAAAAAGGGAAGAGGAGGAAAAGGAAAUAAGCAUUUAUUAAGAACCUACUAUGUGUCAGGCACUGUGAUAAGCACUUUACUAAUAUUAUCUUAUUAAGUGUGAGGUAAGUGCUCCUAUUAUUCUCACUUCAAAAUGAAGAAACUGAGGCAGAGCAGACUAUUAGUUGUCACAUAGCUUAGGAAACCAAAGAUGGCACAGAUUUGAAGAGGCAGGGAAUAAUGAAUGUCCCAAACAAAAAUGGAAGGAACUAACAGAGGAGGGAACAACAGAGUGACAGAAGGAUGGAUGGGGUGAGUGUGAAAAUGUGAGAAAGAUGGAUGGGUUUCGAGUUCGAUUUCUAGCUAUCAAUUCUUGUACACUGAGGCAGGUUUGAAAGGUGAAGCAUGAAAAGCUUGGAAAACUGAGAUAGCCGGGAGAGUAUGAAAGUAGAGAUGUUGUGAUUUAGCUGUGCAGCGUUCAGAAUGAAUCACUCAGUAAGAGACAGAUGAGUAGGCCUAUGUAUAUGUGAUGUUUGGAUGCAAGGAAAGAACACUUGAGUGAGCGAUCGGUGGGUUCAUUGUUGUACUAAGUGGGAGUCGGGUGCAUUAUGAAAGCUAUCAGCAGAGUGGUGGAUGAAUGAGUAUACCUGGACUAUGGGAGAAUGAAUGGAGAAAAGGCAGAAGAGGAGAAUGUGUUUUGAAAGGCAGAAAGGGGUGAAAGGGGUUCAUUCAUGAGAAAGAGAAAAAGCUGAAAAAGGAUAGAACCAAACCCUGAUGGGGGAGGGAAUGUGAUGUGAAAUUGCCAAACUGAGAAGUGGCCAGGAAGAGCAGAAUGAUGGGAGAGAAUUAAUUCUGCGACAUUUCUAGUGCUCCCGUGUGUGAGAUACCAGUGAAUUUAGAGACUGAUUACUGAUGUUUGGCUGUUUAGAAUGACUGCCGGUGUGAGGGACAAAUGGAGGAGCUGAUGUAAAAAGUGAGAGUUGUAUGCAGAAAGAAAGUGGUAGAAGAGAAGAUCUACCUAGACUGAGAGAGAUGAAUUAAAGUAGAAACUUCAGCAUUGAGACACUAAUGGGAAUUGAAAUUUAAGAAGGGUUCAUAUGCAGACUCUUCCUCAUGCUCUCUGCCACAGAUCUGGACCCUCUGCCCCUUAAUCAUGUGCCACCACUUUGGAAAAGAUCAGAAAAGCUGCAAAAAAUUGAGGGGAGCCCAAGAAAAUGGUGUCUCCCCUGAAGUCAAAAGGAGACCCUGAGGGUGGGACCAUGUCAGAAGAUGAAAAAGAAACCAGAGCAAGAGAGCUUACAGUCCCUCAGAAGAAUAGGAAAAGACCGUGGCUACCCUAGCAAAGGUCCCAGCGGCCACAAAAGCCACCGCUCCUGCAACAAAGUGCCUGGGAUAUUUUCUAAGAAGGCCUCCGGCAAGAAAGGGCCACCCCGGCCAAAGCUGAUGUCAUCCUAACAGAAGCGGGAGCCCCCCCCCCCGAGCCACCCACCCAUGAGCAAAGGGGCCCCCAGGAAGUUAAGAAAGAAGAUGGUGACUCUGAAGAAGACAGUGAAGAUGAGAAGAGAGAACCUGGGCCACCCAGAGCUACAAAAGUGGGAGCAGCUCUAGCCAAAUACACUUAGAUGGUGGUAAUGGAGGAGGAAGAAGAAGAAAUGAAGGAGGAGGAGGAGGGUGGGGAAGAAGAAACAAAGGAAGAAG